Molecule: ribosomal RNA, 570 nt
Filed under: uncultured bacterium
Lineage: Bacteria
Description: partial 16S ribosomal RNA
Rfam family: Bacterial small subunit ribosomal RNA
Source: RNAcentral
UGGGGAAUAUUGGACAAUGGGCGCAAGCCUGAUCCAGCAAUGCCGCGUGUGUGAAGAAGGCCUUCGGGUUGUAAAGCACUUUUAUCAGGAGCGAAACGCUGUCGGCUAAUACCCGGCGGAACUGACGGUACCUGAGGAAUAAGCACCGGCUAACUUCGUGCCAGCAGCCGCGGUAAUACGAAGGGUGCAAGCGUUAAUCGGAAUUACUGGGCGUAAAGCGUGCGUAGGCGGUUUCUUAAGUCUGCUGUGAAAUCCCCGGGCUCAACCUGGGAAUGGCAGUGGAUACUGGGAGGCUAGAGUGUGUCAGAGGGUGGUGGAAUUCCCGGUGUAGCGGUGAAAUGCGUAGAGAUCGGGAGGAACAUCAGUGGCGAAGGCGGCCACCUGGGACAACACUGACGCUGAGGCACGAAAAGCGUGGGGAGCAAACAGGAUUAGAUACCCUGGUAGUCCACGCCCUAAAACGAUGCGAACUGGAUGUUGGUCUCAACUCGGAGAUCAGUGUCGAAGCUAACGCGUUAAGUUCGCCGCCUGGGGAGUACGGUCGCAAGACUGAAACUUAAAUGAAUUGAC